UACGUAGGUGGCGAGCGUUGUCCGGAUUUACUGGGCGUAAAGCGCGCGCAGGCGGGCUGGUCAGUCUGGGGUGAAAUCUCACGGCUCAACCGUGAGAGGUCCCUGGAUACUGCUAGCCUUGAGGGGCUCAGAGGAGAGUGGAAUUCCGGGUGUAGUGGUGAAAUGCGUAGAUAUCCGGAGGAACACCAGUGGCGAAGGCGACUUUCUGGCCUGUUCUUGACGCUGAGGCGCGAAAGCUAGGGGAGCAAACAGG
RNAcentral lists this ribosomal RNA (253 nucleotides) under uncultured bacterium. RNAcentral's name for it is "partial 16S ribosomal RNA". It matches the Rfam family "Bacterial small subunit ribosomal RNA", at positions 524 to 776 of the family's 1533-position model. The record is from RNAcentral.